This 369-nucleotide ribosomal RNA is filed under the name uncultured organism. RNAcentral describes it as "bacterial SSU rRNA". It matches the Rfam family "Bacterial small subunit ribosomal RNA", at positions 526 to 896 of the family's 1533-position model. The record is from RNAcentral.
CGUAGGUGGCGAGCGUUGUCCGGAUUUACUGGGCGUAAAGGGAGCGUAGGCGGUUUUUUAAGUGGGGUGUGAAAUCCCUGGGCUUAACCCAGGAAUUGCAUUCCAUACUGGAAGACUAGAGUGCGGGAGAGGAAAGUGGAAUUCCAAGUGUAGCGGUGAAAUGCGUAGAGAUUUGGAGGAACACCAGUGGCGAAGGCGACUUUCUGGACUGUAACUGACGCUGAGGCUCGAGAGCGUGGGGAGCAAACAGGAUUAGAUACCCUGGUAGUCCACGCUGUAAACGAUGAAUACUAGGUGUAGGGGGCGAAGCCCUCUGUGCCGCAGUUAACACAUUAAGUAUUCCGCCUGGGGAGUACGAUCGCAAGAUUA